AGCGAACGCUGGCGGCAGGCCUAACACAUGCAAGUCGAACGAACCUUUCGGGGUUAGUGGCGGACGGGUGAGUAACACGUGGGAACGUGCCUUUAGGUUCGGAAUAACUCAGGGAAACUUGUGCUAAUACCGAAUGUGCCCUUCGGGGGAAAGAUUUAUCGCCUGUAGAGCGGCCCGCGUCUGAUUCGCUAGUUGGUUGAGGUAAUGGCUCACCAAGGCGACGAUCAGGAGCUGGGCGGAGAGGAUGAUCAGCCACAUUGGGACUGAGACACGGCCCAAACUCCUACGGGAGGCAGCAGUGGGGAAUCUUGCGCAAUGGGCGAAAGCCUGACGCAGCCAUGCCGCGUGAAUGAUGAAGGUCUUAGGAUUGUAAAAUUCUUUCACCGGGGACGAUAAUGACGGUACCCGGAGAAGAAGCCCCGGCUAACUUCGUG
This 434-nucleotide ribosomal RNA is filed under the name uncultured bacterium. RNAcentral describes it as "partial 16S ribosomal RNA". It matches the Rfam family "Bacterial small subunit ribosomal RNA", at positions 29 to 507 of the family's 1533-position model. The record is from RNAcentral.